UUACAGACCUCUGCCAUGCCGGCUGGCUAGGUCGCUCUAGCUCAGGGAACUCCAAGAGAGAGGAGGAAGAAAGAGUGUAAGAGACAGAGAGGAUGGAGCACACCUGGAGAAUAAGGUCCUCUGAGUCAACUGAGCAAGGUUCAUAUGAACUCACAGAGGUUGAAGUUCCAGGGUUGCGGCCAACACAGACCUGCACCACUUCCUCUGCAUAUAUAUGAUAGCUUUCAGGUCCACCCACCCCAGCAUAUAUCUCCUCCGAAAUACACCAAGUCCAAUCUGUGGUAUCCACACACUCAUUGGGAAAUGGUGAAACUUCCAAUGACAAGCAACCUAAAG
RNAcentral lists this long non-coding RNA (336 nucleotides) under Cricetulus griseus (Chinese hamster). Its description in RNAcentral is "lncRNA (ENSCGRG00015033352.1)". Lineage: Eukaryota; Metazoa; Chordata; Mammalia; Rodentia; Cricetidae. The record is from RNAcentral.